RNAcentral lists this ribosomal RNA (1343 nucleotides) under uncultured bacterium. RNAcentral's name for it is "16S ribosomal RNA". It matches the Rfam family "Bacterial small subunit ribosomal RNA", at positions 28 to 1378 of the family's 1533-position model. The record is from RNAcentral.
GACGAACGCUGGCGGCGUGCUUAACACAUGCAAGUCGAACGGAAAGGCCCUGCUUUUGUGGGGUGCUCGAGUGGCGAACGGGUGAGUAACACGUGAGUAACCUGCCCUUGACUUUGGGAUGACUUCAGGAAACUGGGGCUAAUACCGGAUAGGAGCUCCUGCUGCAUGGUGGGGGUUGGAAAGUUUCGGCGGUUGGGGAUGGACUCGCGGCUUAUCAGCUUGUUGGUGGGGUAGUGGCUUACCAAGGCUUUGACGGGUAGCCGGCCUGAGAGGGUGACCGGCCACAUUGGGACUGAGAUACGGCCCAGACUCCUACGGGAGGCAGCAGUGGGGAAUAUUGCACAAUGGGCGGAAGCCUGAUGCAGCAACGCCGCGUGCGGGAUGACGGCCUUCGGGUUGUAAACCGCUUUCGCCUGUGACGAAGCGUGAGUGACGGUAAUGGGUAAAGAAGCACCGGCUAACUACGUGCCAGCAGCCGCGGUGAUACGUAGGGUGCGAGCGUUGUCCGGAUUUAUUGGGCGUAAAGGGCUCGUAGGUGGUUGAUCGCGUCGGAAGUGUAAUCUUGGGGCUUAACCCUGAGCGUGCUUUCGAUACGGGUUGACUUGAGGAAGGUAGGGGAGAAUGGAAUUCCUGGUGGAGCGGUGGAAUGCGCAGAUAUCAGGAGGAACACCAGUGGCGAAGGCGGUUCUCUGGGCCUUUCCUGACGCUGAGGAGCGAAAGCGUGGGGAGCGAACAGGCUUAGAUACCCUGGUAGUCCACGCUGUAAACGGUGGGUACUAGGUGUGGGGUCCAUUCCACGGGUUCCGUGCCGUAGCUAACGCUUUAAGUACCCCGCCUGGGGAGUACGGCCGCAAGGCUAAAACUCAAAGGAAUUGACGGGGCCCCGCACAAGCGGCGGAGCAUGCGGAUUAAUUCGAUGCAACGCGUAGAACCUUACCUGGGUUUGACAUGGAUCGGGAGUGCUCAGAGAUGGGUGUGCCUCUUUUGGGGUCGGUUCACAGGUGGUGCAUGGCUGUCGUCAUCUCGUGUCGUGAGAUGUUGGGUUAAGUCCCGCAACGAGCGCAACCCUUGUUCACUGUUGCCAGCACGUUAUGGUGGGGACUCAGUGGAGACCGCCGGGGUCAACUCGGAGGAAGGUGGGGAUGACGUCAAGUCAUCAUGCCCCUUAUGUCCAGGGCUUCACGCAUGCUACAAUGGCUGGUACAGAGAGUGGCGAGCCUGUGAGGGUGAGCGAAUCUCGGAAAGCCGGUCUCAGUUCGGAUUGGGGUCUGCAACUCGACCUCAUGAAGUCGGAGUCGCUAGUAAUCGCAGAUCAGCAACGCUGCGGUGAAUACGUCCCCGGG